GGCUUAAUACAUGCUUUGCUCCCUUAACUUAUUUUUGAAUUUCAUUUUGGUCCCUUAACUUUAAACCGUCUCAAUUUGGUCCCAUAACUUUACCUCCGUUUACCUAACAGAAGGGACCACUUAGGUAAACGGAGGCAAAGUUAUGGGACCAAAUUGAGACGGUUUAAAGUUAAGGGACCAAAAUGAAAUUCAAAAAUAAGUUAAGGGACCAAAGCAUGUAUUAAGGCAA
RNAcentral lists this microRNA precursor (229 nucleotides) under Medicago truncatula (barrel medic). RNAcentral's name for it is "MIR2655 microRNA precursor family". It matches the Rfam family "MIR2655 microRNA precursor family". Lineage: Eukaryota; Viridiplantae; Streptophyta; Magnoliopsida; Fabales; Fabaceae. The record is from Rfam by way of RNAcentral.